GAUGACGCUAGCGGCAGGCUUAACACAUGCAAGUCGAGGGGUAACAGGAGUGCUUGCACUCGCUGACGACCGGCGCACGGGUGCGUAACGCGUAUAGAACCUACCUUUUACUGAGGGAUAGCCUUUAGAAAUGAAGAUUAAUACCUCAUAGUAUUGCGAUUUGGCAUCAGAUUGUAAUUAAAGAUUUAUUGGUAAAAGAUGGCUAUGCGUCUUAUUAGCUAGAUGGUAAGGUAACGGCUUACCAUGGCAACGAUAAGUAGGGGCCCUGAGAGGGGGAUCCCCCACACUGGUACUGAGACACGGACCAGACUCCUACGGGAGGCAGCAGUGAGGAAUAUUGGGCAAUGGAGGCAACUCUGACCCAGCCAUGCCGCGUGCAGGAAGACUGCCCUAUGGGUUGUAAACUGCUUUUAUACAGGAAGAAACACACCUACGUGUAGGUGCUUGACGGUACUGUAAGAAUAAGCACCGGCUAACUCCGUGCCAGCAGCCGCGGUAAUACGGAGGGUGCAAGCGUUAUCCGGAAUCAUUGGGUUUAAAGGGUCCGCAGGCGGUCAAUUAAGUCAGAGGUGAAAUCCCAUAGCUUAACUAUGGAACUGCCUUUGAUACUGGUUGACUUGAGUUAUACGGAAGUAGAUAGAAUAAGUAGUGUAGCGGUGAAAUGCAUAGAUAUUACUUAGAAUACCGAUUGCGAAGGCAGUCUA
RNAcentral lists this ribosomal RNA (704 nucleotides) under bacterium IMCC11408. Its description in RNAcentral is "bacterial SSU rRNA". It matches the Rfam family "Bacterial small subunit ribosomal RNA", at positions 28 to 728 of the family's 1533-position model. The record is from RNAcentral.